GACAUAGGUGGCAAACGUUAUCCGGAAUUAUUGGGCGUAAAGGGUGCGUAGGUGGUUUAAUAAGUUAUUGGUGGGAAAACGGGGCCCAACUCCGUGGAAGCUAGUAAUACUAUUAGACUAGAGGACCGGAGAGGUUAACGGAAUGGCUCGUGUAGGGGUAAAAUCCGUAAAUACGAGUUGGAACACCAAAAGGCGAAGGCAGUUAACUAUUCGGUUCCUGACAUUGAGGCACGAAAGCGUGGGGAUCAAACAGG
RNAcentral lists this ribosomal RNA (254 nucleotides) under uncultured bacterium. Its description in RNAcentral is "partial 16S ribosomal RNA". It matches the Rfam family "Bacterial small subunit ribosomal RNA", at positions 524 to 776 of the family's 1533-position model. The record is from RNAcentral.